This 877-nucleotide long non-coding RNA is filed under the name Cavia porcellus (domestic guinea pig). RNAcentral describes it as "lncRNA (ENSCPOG00000036622.1)". Lineage: Eukaryota; Metazoa; Chordata; Mammalia; Rodentia; Caviidae. The record is from RNAcentral.
GGAACACAUAAUCAUGAUUUAAAAAUAAAUAGCAGAAGACAAAGUAUUUGGCUCUUGGCUCUGCCCACCGCUGAAGUCAUCUGUUCAAGCUCUGGCCACGCUGUACUUGGAGGGCUUUGAGGUCUGGCAACUGCUGGGCUUUGUCCAUAGAGCGCUGGAUCUGUUCACAGAUGACAGACCCGUCCACCACAGUCGGGCUCUACUGGAGCAAGACCCAGCGCUGGGAGAGCCCUGCUGGCCCUCUCCUGGCCUGUCUGUCUGUCUGGUCUUCCUGUCAGAACAGCUCCGCCACCACCUGGAGAGGCAGGAAAAGAGAAGCCCGUUUCUGGCCCGAGCCUCCGGGCGGGAGUGGGAAGGUAGGCGAUCCUCACCCGGGGAUCGGAACCGGCUUCAGGAGGUUACUAUCUGGACACCCGAAGAGCCUGCCUUCCUCCUCGCAGGAGCACCGCGGGGCUUGGUGCCGAGAGAGGCGUCUACUGUUUCGUCACUUCUGUCUCUGAGUGGUCUCACGCGUGCCUCGCCUCCCCACGAAGACGUUGUGACCGCCACUCCCUCCCUCCCCCGGCCAGCAUUCCCUGAGCCCUCUGCCGGCUUUGGGCUGGCAGCAGGCCAUCAGGGGAAAACCCACAUGAGAAAGUGGGAAGUUCACCCACCUUUCACUCCUCUGGGCCUCGGUAGAGGGAAGACUCCACGGCAGCUUCCGGGUGGGUCCUUCGAGCCCCUGAGAGCCACUGCGGUGGUCCCUGGUCCCGUCCUGUUCACAGCUAUAGGCUUUGAGGACUUCACCAAGGAGAGGUGUACUUUUUCUUGGAGCAGCGCCUGCUGUCUUUGGAACACACACUUAGUUCCUGAUGGAACGGACAACCGUAAGUUCUAG